AGUGAACGCUGGCGGUAGGCCUAACACAUGCAAGUCGAACGGCAGCACAGUAAGAGCUUGCUCUUACGGGUGGCGAGUGGCGGACGGGUGAGGAAUACAUCGGAAUCUACUUUUUCGUGGGGGAUAACGUAGGGAAACUUACGCUAAUACCGCAUACGACCUACGGGUGAAAGCAGGGGAUCUUCGGACCUUGCGCGAUUGAAUGAGCCGAUGUCGGAUUAGCUAGUUGGCGGGGUAAAGGCCCACCAAGGCGACGAUCCGUAGCUGGUCUGAGAGGAUGAUCAGCUACACUGGAACUGAGACACGGUCCAGACUCCUACGGGAGGAAGCAGUGGGGAAUAUUGGGCGAUGGGCGCAAGCCUGAUCCAGCAAUACCGCGUGGGUGAUGAAGGACUUCGGGUUGGAAAGCCCUUUUGUUGGGAAAGAAAAGCAGCAGGUUAAUACCCCGCUGUUCUGACGGUACCCAAAGAAUAAGCACCGGCUAACUUCGUG
RNAcentral lists this ribosomal RNA (492 nucleotides) under uncultured bacterium. RNAcentral's name for it is "partial 16S ribosomal RNA". It matches the Rfam family "Bacterial small subunit ribosomal RNA", at positions 29 to 507 of the family's 1533-position model. The record is from RNAcentral.